RNAcentral lists this microRNA precursor (58 nucleotides) under Scyliorhinus torazame (cloudy catshark). Its description in RNAcentral is "Sto-Mir-133-P4-v2_pre stem-loop". It matches the Rfam family "mir-133 microRNA precursor family", at positions 15 to 72 of the family's 74-position model. Rfam says of the family: mir-133 was first experimentally characterised in mouse and homologues have since been discovered in several other species. The mature sequence is excised from the 3' arm of the hairpin. The record is from RNAcentral. Lineage: Eukaryota; Metazoa; Chordata; Chondrichthyes; Carcharhiniformes; Scyliorhinidae.
GCUGGUAAAAGAGAACCAGAUCGACUUUUGCACGGAUUUGGUCCCCUUCAACCAGCUG